This 439-nucleotide ribosomal RNA is filed under the name uncultured bacterium. Its description in RNAcentral is "bacterial SSU rRNA". It matches the Rfam family "Bacterial small subunit ribosomal RNA", at positions 338 to 795 of the family's 1533-position model. The record is from RNAcentral.
CCUACGGUGGCACCAGUGGGGAAUAUUGGACAAUGGGCGAAAGCCUGAUCCAGCAAUGCCGCGUGUGUGAAGAAGGUCUUCGGAUUGUAAAGCACUUUCGACGGAGACGAUGAUGACGGUACCCGUAGAAGAAGCCCCGGCUAACUUCGUGCCAGCAGCCGCGGUAAUACGAAGGGGGCUAGCGUUGCUCGGAAUGACUGGGCGUAAAGGGCGCGUAGGCGGUUUAUGCAGUCAGAUGUGAAAUCCCCGGGCUUAACCUGGGAACUGCAUUUGAGACGCAUAGGCUAGAGGUCGAGAGAGGGUUGUGGAAUUCCCAGUGUAGAGGUGAAAUUCGUAGAUAUUGGGAAGAACACCGGUGGCGAAGGCGGCAACCUGGCUCGAUACUGACGCUGAGGCGCGAAAGCGUGGGGAGCAAACAGGAUUAGAUACCCCAGUAGUC